Molecule: transfer RNA, 91 nt
Filed under: Perca fluviatilis (European perch)
Lineage: Eukaryota; Metazoa; Chordata; Actinopteri; Perciformes; Percidae
Description: tRNA-Tyr
Source: RNAcentral
UCCUCUCGAUAGCUCAGUUGGUAGAGCGGAGGACUGUAGGUUGAUAAUUGUAGGCAUCCUUAGGUCGCUGGUUCAACUCUCGCCGAAGGAA